RNAcentral lists this small nucleolar RNA (81 nucleotides) under Carlito syrichta (Philippine tarsier). Its description in RNAcentral is "Small nucleolar RNA SNORD115 (ENSTSYG00000026624.1)". It matches the Rfam family "Small nucleolar RNA SNORD115". From Rfam's summary of the family: HBII-52 is a member of the C/D class of snoRNAs, which contain the C (UGAUGA) and D (CUGA) box motifs. The record is from Rfam by way of RNAcentral. Lineage: Eukaryota; Metazoa; Chordata; Mammalia; Primates; Tarsiidae.
GGGUCAAUGAUGCGAACUUUAUAUUGUCUGAAGAUAAGUGAUGUCUUAAAUACCAUGCACAAUAGUAUUACGCUGAGGUCC